Molecule: ribosomal RNA, 487 nt
Filed under: uncultured bacterium
Lineage: Bacteria
Description: bacterial SSU rRNA
Rfam family: Bacterial small subunit ribosomal RNA
Source: RNAcentral
AGUGAACGCUGGCGGCGUGCUUAACACAUGCAAGUCGAACGAGAACGGAUUAUAGCUUGCUAUAAUUGUCAGCUAAGUGGCGCACGGGUGAGUAAUGUAUAGGUAAUAUGCCUCUUACUAAGGGAUAACAAAUGGAAACGUUUGCUAAUACCUUAUACUCCUUAUUAACAGAAGUUAAUAAGGGAAAGAUUUAUUGGUAAGAGAUUAGCCUGUAUUGUAUCAGUUAGUUGGUGGGGUAAUGGCUUACCAAGACUAUGACACAUAACUGGUUUGAGAGGAUGAUCAGUCACACUGGAACUGAGACACGGUCCAGACUCCUACGGGAGGCAGCAGUGAGGAAUAUUGGUCAAUGGGCGAGAGCCUGAACCAGCCAUCCCGCGUGCAGGAAGAAGGCCCUAUGGGUUGUAAACUGCUUUUGUGCAUGAAGAACACCCCGCUCGAGAGCGGGGCUGACGGUAAUGCGUGAAUAAGCACCGGCUAACUACGU